UAUGAGAUUGACAUAUUUUCCUAUUAUCACUUUCUAUUUCAGAGCAUUGGGGAAUCAUCAAUGUCUAUUGUAUUAAGUCAGCUACUACCUAUGAUUAAGCCUUCAACCCAGAGGACCAAUGAUGACUAUAACCUUGAGGAGCUGCUGAUCCUCCUCAUAUAUAUUCAUUCUGUCACUGGAGAAUUUGUGGUGGACAAAGACCUGGGAGAUACUGAAGAAAAAGUGAAGAAAGCAUUGGCUCAGGCUUUUUGUGAGGAGUCCGAGUUGUCACCUUUGCUUCAAAAAAUUACAGGUCAGUGUUCGACAAAGUUAUAGGACAUAAACACCAAUGAUAUAG
RNAcentral lists this long non-coding RNA (337 nucleotides) under Marmota monax (woodchuck). The record is from RNAcentral. Lineage: Eukaryota; Metazoa; Chordata; Mammalia; Rodentia; Sciuridae.